GGAUUCNCCCUUAGAGUUUGAUANGGNNCNNNAUGAACGCUAGCGACAGGCUUAACACAUGCAAGUCGAGGGGCAGCGGGGGUGUUGCUUGCAACACCUGCCGGCGACCGGCGCACGGGUGAGUAACACGUAUGCAAUCUGCCCCCGGCAGGGGAAUAAGCCGGAGAAAUCCGGUCUAAUACCGCGUAACAUCGCGGGAGGGCAUCCUUCCGUGAUCAAAGGAAGCAAUUCCGGCCGGGGAUGGGCAUGCGGCGCAUUAGCUAGUUGGCGGGGUAACGGCCCACCAAGGCGACGAUGCGUAGGGGUUCUGAGAGGAAGGUCCCCCACACUGGUACUGAGACACGGACCAGACUCCUACGGGAGGCAGCAGUGAGGAAUAUUGGUCAAUGGGCGGGAGCCUGAACCAGCCAAGUCGCGUGAGGGAAGACGGUCCUAUGGAUUGUAAACCUCUUUUGUCGGGGAGCAAAGGGGUCCACGUGUGGAUCACUCGAGAGUACCCGAAGAAAAAGCAUCGGCUAACUCCGUGCCAGCAGCCGCGGUAAUACGGAGGAUGCGAGCGUUAUCCGGAUUUAUUGGGUUUAAAGGGUGCGUAGGCGGGCUGUCAAGUCAGCGGUAAAAUGGAGAGGCUCAACCUCUUCAGGCCGUUGAAACUGGCGGUCUUGAGUGAAUGAGAAGUAUGCGGAAUGCGUGGUGUAGCGGUGAAAUGCAUAGAUAUCACGCAGAACUCCGAUUGCGAAGGCAGCAUACCGGCAUUCAACUGACGCUGAAGCACGAAAGCGUGGGGAUCAAACAGGAUUAGAUACCCUGGUAGUCCACGCAGUAAACGAUGAAUGCUAGAUGUCCGGGUCGAAUGAGGCCUGGGUGUCACAGCGAAAGCGUUAAGCAUUCCACCUGGGGAGUACGCCGGCAACGGUGAAACUCAAAGGAAUUGACGGGGGCCCGCACAAGCGGAGGAACAUGUGGUUUAAUUCGAUGAUACGCGAGGAACCUUACCCGGGCUCAAACGUGGAAGGAAUGAGUGUGAAAGCAUUCAGUCCUCCGGGACUUUCCACGAGGUGCUGCAUGGUUGUCGUCAGCUCGUGCCGUGAGGUGUCGGCUUAAGUGCCAUAACGAGCGCAACCCCCAUCGACAGUUGCUAACAGGUAAAGCUGAGGACUCUGUCGAGACUGCCGGCGCAAGCUGUGAGGAAGGCGGGGAUGACGUCAAAUCAGCACGGCCCUUACGUCCGGGGCGACACACGUGUUACAAUGGCAGGGACAGCGGGAAGCCAUCCGGCGACGGAGAGCGGAACCCGAAACCCUGUCUCAGUUCGGAUUGGAGUCUGCAACUCGACUCCAUGAAGCUGGAUUCGCUAGUAAUCGCGCAUCAGCCAUGGCGCGGUGAAUACGUUCCCGGGCCUUGUACACACCGCCCGUCAAGCCAUGGAAGCCGGGAGUGCCUGAAGUACGUGACCGUAAAAGGAGCGUCCUAGGGUAAAACCGGUGACUGGGGCUAAGUCGUAACAAGGUAGCCGU
Molecule: ribosomal RNA, 1514 nt
Filed under: uncultured bacterium
Lineage: Bacteria
Description: bacterial SSU rRNA
Rfam family: Bacterial small subunit ribosomal RNA
Source: RNAcentral